CCUACGGGUGGCAGCAGUCGAGAAUCAUUCACAAUGGGGGAAACCCUGAUGGUGCGACGCCGCGUGGGGGAAGACGGUUUUCGGAUUGUAAACCUCUGUCCUCUGUGAAGAUGAUGACGGUAGCAGAGGAGGAAGCGCCGGCUAACUACGUGCCAGCAGCCGCGGGAAUACGUAGGGAGCGAGCGUUGUCCGGAUUUACUGGGUGUAAAGGGUGCGUAGGCGGCUUGGCAAGUCAGUAGUGAAAUCCAUGGGUUUACCCCAUGAACUGCUAUUGAAACUGUCGAGCUUGAGUGAAGUAGAGGUAGGCGGAAUUCCCGGUGUAGCGGUGAAAUGCGUAGAGAUCGGGCGGAACACCAGUGGCGAAGGCGGCCUACUGGGCUUUAACUGACGCUGAGGCACGAAAGCGUGGGUAGCAAACAGGAUUAGAUACCCCAGUAGUC
This 440-nucleotide ribosomal RNA is filed under the name uncultured bacterium. RNAcentral describes it as "partial 16S ribosomal RNA". It matches the Rfam family "Bacterial small subunit ribosomal RNA", at positions 338 to 795 of the family's 1533-position model. The record is from RNAcentral.